RNAcentral lists this ribosomal RNA (371 nucleotides) under uncultured bacterium. RNAcentral's name for it is "bacterial SSU rRNA". It matches the Rfam family "Bacterial small subunit ribosomal RNA", at positions 527 to 896 of the family's 1533-position model. The record is from RNAcentral.
GUAGGGGGCAAGCGUUGUCCGGAUUUAUUGGGCGUAAAGAGCGUGUAGGCGGUUCGGUAGGUCCGUUGUGAAAACUCGAGGCUCAACCUCGAGACGCCGAUGGAAACCAUCGAACUAGAGUCCGGAAGAGGAGAGUGGAAUUCCUGGUGUAGCGGUGAAAUGCGCAGAUAUCAGGAAGAACACCCGUGGCUAAGGCGGCUCUCUAGUACGGUACUGACGCUGAGACGCGAAAGCGUGGGGAGCGAACAGGAUUAGAUACCCUGGUAGUCCACGCCGUAAACGAUGGGUGCUAGGUGUAGGGGGUGUCGACUCCCUCUGUGCCGAAGCUAACGCAUUAAGCACCCCGCCUGGGGAGUACGGCCGCAAGGCUA